RNAcentral lists this ribosomal RNA (487 nucleotides) under uncultured bacterium. RNAcentral's name for it is "bacterial SSU rRNA". It matches the Rfam family "Bacterial small subunit ribosomal RNA", at positions 29 to 510 of the family's 1533-position model. The record is from RNAcentral.
AGUUAACGCUGGCGGCGUGCAUAACACAUGCAAGUAGAACGAGUUUAUGAGAUUACAUCAAGUAGACUAGUUGCAGACGAGUGAGUAACACGUAAGAAAUCUACCCUGGAGUGGGGGACAACCAGUCGAAAGAUUGGCUAAUACCCCAUACGAUCAUCGGUCGGCAUCUAUCGGUGAUGAAAGGUUUUUCGCUCUAGGACGAUCUUGCGGCCUAUCAGCAGUUGGUGAGGUAACGGCUCACCAAGGCUAUGACGGGUACCUGGCCUGAAAGGGCGGACGGGCACGGAGGCACUGAGACACGGGCCUCACUCCUACGGGAGGCAGCAGUGGGGAAUUUGGGCAAUGGGCGAAAGCCUGACCCAGCAACGCCGCGUGAGGGAGGAAUCCUUCGGGAUGUAAACCUCACAAGCAAGGGAAGAGAGCUGGCGGGCUGAAUAAUCCCGUAGUGCGACGGUACCUUGCGUAAGCCACGGCUAACUACGUGCCA